This 45-nucleotide non-coding RNA is filed under the name Schistosoma margrebowiei. The record is from RNAcentral. Lineage: Eukaryota; Metazoa; Platyhelminthes; Trematoda; Strigeidida; Schistosomatidae.
AUCCAACUGACGAGUCCCAAAUGGGAUGAAAUACUCAUCCUGGAU